Molecule: ribosomal RNA, 535 nt
Filed under: Beauveria bassiana
Lineage: Eukaryota; Fungi; Ascomycota; Sordariomycetes; Hypocreales; Cordycipitaceae
Description: eukaryotic LSU rRNA
Rfam family: 5.8S ribosomal RNA (bases 161-312)
Source: RNAcentral
UAAUAGGGGGAGACCCAACCCUUAUGUGAACCUACCUAUCGUUGCUUCGGCGGACUCGCCCCAGCCGGACGCGGACUGGACCAGCGGCCGCCGGGGACCAUCAAACUCUUGUAUUAUCAGCAUCUUCUGAAUACGCCGCAAGGCAAAACAAAUAAAUUAAAACUUUCAACAACGGAUCUCUUGGCUCUGGCAUCGAUGAAGAACGCAGCGAAAUGCGAUAAGUAAUGUGAAUUGCGAAUCCAGUGAAUCAUCGAAUCUUUGAACGCACAUUGCGCCCGCCAGCAUUCUGGCGGGAUGCCUGUUCGAGCGUCAUUUCAACCCUCGACCUCCCUUGGGGAAGUCGGCGUUGGGGACCGGCAGCACACCGCCGGCCCUGAAAUGGAGUGGCGGCCCGUCCGCGGCGACCUCUGCGUAGUAAACCAACUCGCACCGGAACCCCGACGUGGCCACGCCGUAAAACACCCAACUUCUGAACGUUGACCUCGAAUCAGGUAGGACUACCCGCUGAACUUAAGCAUAUCAAUAAGCGGAGGAA